GGGGAUUUAGCUCAGUGGUAGAGCACUUGCCUAGCAAGUGCAAGACCCUGGGUUUGGUCCCCAGCUCCG
This is a non-coding RNA of Rattus norvegicus (Norway rat), 69 nucleotides long. NCBI's taxonomy places the organism in Eukaryota, Metazoa, Chordata, Mammalia, Rodentia, Muridae. The record is from Rfam.